Molecule: transfer RNA, 76 nt
Filed under: Mus musculus (house mouse)
Lineage: Eukaryota; Metazoa; Chordata; Mammalia; Rodentia; Muridae
Description: tRNA-Ala
Source: RNAcentral
CAGGGUAUACCUCAGUGGUAGAGUACCUGCCUAGCAUGCAUGUUUAAGAUCCUAGAUUCAAUUCCCAGUGCUAUAA